GUCCAGGGAUGGGAAUCGAACCCACAGUGUUCCGCUUACCGGGCAGAUGCCAUGUCCUCUAGAAUACCCUGGA
Molecule: non-coding RNA, 73 nt
Organism: Cordylochernes scorpioides
Lineage: Eukaryota; Metazoa; Arthropoda; Arachnida; Pseudoscorpiones; Chernetidae
Source: the annotation of a GenBank genome assembly